AAACUUAGUCUAUCGGAUCUAG
This 22-nucleotide microRNA is filed under the name Sarcophilus harrisii (Tasmanian devil). RNAcentral describes it as "Sha-Mir-7385-o1b_3p (mature (guide))". Lineage: Eukaryota; Metazoa; Chordata; Mammalia; Dasyuromorphia; Dasyuridae. The record is from RNAcentral.